UACAGAGGUCCCAAGCGUUGUUCGGAUUCACUGGGCGUAAAGGGUGCGUAGGCGGUCGGGUAAGUCUGAUGUGAAAUCUCACAGCUUAACUGUGAAACUGCAUUGGAUACUAUUCGGCUUGAGAGUUGGAGGGGGGACUGGAAUUCUUGGUGUAGCAGUGAAAUGCGUAGAUAUCGGGAGGAACACCAGUGGCGAAGGCGGCCUUCUGGACCAAUACUGACGCUCAUGCACGAAAGCGUGGGGAGCAAACAGG
RNAcentral lists this ribosomal RNA (253 nucleotides) under uncultured bacterium. RNAcentral's name for it is "partial 16S ribosomal RNA". It matches the Rfam family "Bacterial small subunit ribosomal RNA", at positions 524 to 776 of the family's 1533-position model. The record is from RNAcentral.